ACCAUUCCCACAAACGUCUACGACCGCGCCUACAUAGUUUUGCAUGUUUACAAUUCUAAUUUUAAACAGCCAAUUACCAAGAACCUGAUUGGCUGUUCAAAAUUAGAAUUGUAAAUUAACAUGCAAAACUGUGUAGGCGCGGUCGUAGACGUUUGUGGGAGUGGU
Paramuricea clavata is the source of this 165-nucleotide non-coding RNA. The record is from the annotation of a GenBank genome assembly. NCBI's taxonomy places the organism in Eukaryota, Metazoa, Cnidaria, Anthozoa, Malacalcyonacea, Plexauridae.